GCGCUGGUGUAGCUCAGUGGUUUCUUCCUACAACAAAUCCUACUGGGUUACCUGUUCAAACCUUUCGGGAUUGAACCACGGGCGCUGUCCAGUGUUUUU
Molecule: vault RNA, 99 nt
Organism: Gadus morhua (Atlantic cod)
Lineage: Eukaryota; Metazoa; Chordata; Actinopteri; Gadiformes; Gadidae
Gene: Vault
Rfam family: Vault RNA
About the family: This family of RNAs are found as part of the enigmatic vault ribonucleoprotein complex. The complex consists of a major vault protein (MVP), two minor vault proteins (VPARP and TEP1), and several small untranslated RNA molecules.
Source: Ensembl